Octopus sinensis (East Asian common octopus) is the source of this 328-nucleotide long non-coding RNA. RefSeq lists it as uncharacterized. The transcript has 3 exons. The record is from RefSeq and is a predicted model, not a curated record. Lineage: Eukaryota; Metazoa; Mollusca; Cephalopoda; Octopoda; Octopodidae.
CUAUUGUUACUAAGUCAAAAACAUAAACCAUAUUAUCCAUAAGCUUACUGCUGAUGAUUUUUAUGUUUCAAAUACGACAAAUUUCUAACCUUGAACACAGUCUGCUGAUUUUCUCUUUAAGCAACUUUAUUACACGUAAGAACUUAUAUUUGGCGCAAGUUAUGUAUAAUAAUUUAGACAGAGAAGAUGGCAGAAAAUAACGAAGUUUGUCACAUUACAUUAGAAUUUCAAAUCAGAAUUUUCUCACGGCGUUACUUCACUCGCUUUUGUAAUUAAAAAAGUGAAGAAAAGACAGGUUCAUGAGGAUUGUGACGAGAAUGAGAAUGGA